Molecule: unclassified non-coding RNA, 218 nt
Filed under: soil metagenome
Description: partial contains 5.8S ribosomal RNA, internal transcribed spacer 2, and large subunit ribosomal RNA
Source: RNAcentral
AACUGAUACUACCUGCGGGAACCUGCGGAGGGAUCAUUACUGAGUUUCACAACUCUCUAACCCUGUGUGAACUGAAGUCUGGUUGCUCAGGCAGGCGGCCCCCGGGGGGAGCCGCAGCUUCUCUGAAGCGCCUGCCGGAGGAUACCUAAACUCGUUUUAACAUAUAAUCUUCUGAGUAAUAAAAAAAAAUGAAUCAAAACUUUUAACAACGGAUCUCU